UCCCUGGUGGUCCAGCGGUUAAGACUCCGUGCUUCCAAUGCAGGGGACCCAGGUUUGAUCCCUGGUCAGGGAA
RNAcentral lists this transfer RNA (73 nucleotides) under Tursiops truncatus (common bottlenose dolphin). RNAcentral's name for it is "tRNA-Trp (CCA) (tRNA-Trp-CCA-22-1)". It matches the Rfam family "tRNA". From Rfam's summary of the family: Transfer RNA (tRNA) molecules are approximately 80 nucleotides in length. Their secondary structure includes four short double-helical elements and three loops (D, anti-codon, and T loops). RNAcentral also lists the same sequence under 1 other name. Lineage: Eukaryota; Metazoa; Chordata; Mammalia; Artiodactyla; Delphinidae. The record is from Rfam by way of RNAcentral.